Molecule: ribosomal RNA, 472 nt
Filed under: uncultured bacterium
Lineage: Bacteria
Description: partial 16S ribosomal RNA
Rfam family: Bacterial small subunit ribosomal RNA
Source: RNAcentral
GACGAACGCUGGCGGCGUGCUUAAUACAUGCAAGUCGAACGAUGAAUCUGUAGCUUGCGCUUGGGGCUUAGUGGCGAACGGAGGAGCAACACGUGGGGAAACUGCCCUGUACUCUGGCCUACACGGGGGAAAAAACGUCGGAUACAGGAUAUGAUCUUGGAUCACAUGAUCUGCGGCGGAGAAGUUGUUGGGUCUGGGAUGUUGCGGCGCUCUAUCAUCUUGUUGGGGAGGUAAAGGCUCACGAAGGCGUCGAGGGGUAGCCGGCCUGAGAGGGAGACCGGCCACACUGGGACUGAGACAGGGAGCAGACUCAUGCGAGCGGCAGCAGUGGGGAAUAGUGCACAAGGGGCGAAAGCCUGGUGCAGCAACGCCGCGUGCGGGAUGACGGCCUUCGGGUUGUAAACAGCUUUUAGUAGGGAAGAAGGGCUUCGGCUUGACGGUACCUGCAGAGAAAGGACCGGCUAACUACGUG